GGGAGGGUGGCGUUCCUGAGUCCGCGGAGGAAAGGGUCGCAGCUGCAGUCGCGCCAGCCCUCGGGCCUACAUCCGCUCCGCCGCGACGCGGCUCACAAACUAGGGAGGGGAGAAGGGAAGAAAGACCCGAUUCGGGAACACGGCUUUGUCCCUGGAACUGUACCUCAUGUCCCCUCACUUAAUCCUCCCAAGACCUGUGGGGCGUGUCGUCAUUUUAGGGCUGGAGAUGAGGAAACCGAGGCUCGGAGAGAUGAAGCGUUGUACGGCCACCGAGCGGCUGCUUUGCAACGAAGCCAAAGCCAACGUUUUGUUCUUAGCGGCGGUCGUUUGAGCCACGCCUCACCGCAACGAGUCUGCCAUCAGCCAAGAGGUCACAUCUUUUCUGGAACUCGCUCCCCCCUCACAUCAUGGGAGCAGUCAGUCUACUCUUCCAGUAGAAACUGUUUUGCCACUUUUGGGGGGAAUCUUGAGCUACCAGCUCAUCGCUCAGAUGGAGUGAAGGUACCUGAGCGCAGGAACCAUGGUCUUCAUUGCUGCCUCAGCAUUAGCGGAAGUGCCACGGGCCGGCUCCCAGGGGGCCAGAGUUUCCCAGGAACACCAUUGAGUACCACUGAACUAGAGUCUGCAAGUUAAAGUAAGGCAAGAAGGAAAACCGGAAACAACUGUAAAAACCUGACCUUUCGUCACCUUAAUACUGGCCAUCAUUUAUCGAGUGCUUAUUAUGUAACAGACAUUGUUCUCAGUGUGUGAGUGCAGUGUUCCUCAAACCUAAAUGUGGGCCUGAAUCGCAGCGGAUCUUGGUAAAAUGCAGUUUCUCAUUCAGUACCUCUGGGGUGCGGCCUGAGAUUCUGCAUUUCCAACAAGCUCCCAGGAUACUUUGUAUAGAAAGGCUUUGGUGUAUUAACUAACUCGAUCUUCUUAAUAAUCCUAUGAAAUACUACUGCUAUUCCCAUUUUACAGAUGAGGAAACAGAGGUUAAGCAUAUAUGAACUUACAUCAAAAUAAAUAGACUGCAGGGCAAGGAGGGAGGGGAGAAUAGUGUGGGCAGUGUACAGUGCAGAAACAAAGUUCUAGGCAGAGGAAAAAGGAUUUACAGAAAGCCUGGCAUACAGGGCAGGGGGACGGGGCCUGCACACGGGGCUGUUUCACCGUUAGACGUUAUAAGCACAGUACUUGGGGCUAUGGGCUUCCUGAAGGUCCCAAGUAUUUGAGACCUGAAAAAAAUUUAUUGACACCUACAUAGGAAAAGUGAACUUUUAAAUUAAUAAUUCCAAAAUUCAAAUCACGAAUUGUUUCAAAAAUUUUACAUGAUAGAAUUCAUAUUUAGUAAGCGAUACGGGUAUAUUUUAAUGCAUUUGAUUUUAAAAACGGGGUAGGGCCUACUAAGAACAGGCCAAGCCCUGGCCCCAGUGGGUUUGGAUAUAAUCCUGAGGGCAGCUGGGAACCACUGAGAGAAGCAGGAGAAUGUUCUCUGUGGCUACAGUGAGGAGAAUGGAUUGGAGGGAGGCCAGACUGGAGGCCCAGUGGCUAGAGACCAGAUAGGCAGUUACAGUCUUCCAGACUGCGAGACAAUCUCUCUUUAGUGCCAAGAUUAGCAUAAAAUCAUAGCAUUAUAUAACCCAAUUAUUCUUUGAUUCCUGCAUCCCCAAUCUGACUCAGCAUUCUAAAUUUACUUAAGAUCUGGGGACAAGGGUUUUUGGCAAAUCCUUGAAGGCAAAUGAUGUUACAGUCAAUCAGUAUAUGCCUUGAGCCAGACAGACAUGGGUACGGGCCUCAGUUCUGCUGCUUGCUAGCUAUGUGACUUUGCACAAGUGAUUUAACUUCUCUGGGCCUUGGAUUCCUUACUGGUAACACGAGCAUAAUCGAUUCCUCACAGAAUUAAGUGAGAAAACUAUGUAUGUAGGACUUCUUAUGGAGUGGGUACUUAGAAAUAAAUGGUAGCCGUUAUCAUUUAUGUGCCUUUGUUCUGAAAUCUGCUUAAGUUUUCUCUAGGAAGUAACAG
This 2002-nucleotide long non-coding RNA is filed under the name Homo sapiens (human). Its description in RNAcentral is "non-protein coding lnc-B4GALNT3-2:5". The record is from RNAcentral. Lineage: Eukaryota; Metazoa; Chordata; Mammalia; Primates; Hominidae.